AAAUCCAGACUCAAAAUAAGGCCCUGGGAUAACUGACCAGAUUGCCAGGACUGCACAUUUUGACCAAAGAUGAAUAUUCUGUAGGCAUUCUGGACGCAUCCUGGAAAUGGUACGUCUGACAGCUUUAAAUAGAGCAGAAAGCAGAACUCCUGGAUUCAUCCCAGCCGAAGAGUUCUGUGGACCUCUGGGGAGGAGCGAAUGACAAGAUGAUGGACCUAGAGAACUGCUUUGGAAUCCAAGCUUCACACCAGUUCCUGAGCAAUGCCACUUCAUAGAAGGCUCAAGACUUCAGCCCUAUGCCUACUUAUCGUCUUUGUUACGGAACAUCACCCGAGGACUCCAUGUGGUCAGCGUGAUCUGAUGUGUAAUCAAGGCUAACCACUUUUCCUGAACCAAAUAUUGAUGCUGAAUCAAGCCUGAGUAUAUUUGCACUGACAGGAGGCACUGAGACUCUGAAAGUGGGACAGGUCUGGAGCUCUGGAGUUAUGUCACCAGGGAAGCUAGGGCAACAGAACCCUGGACAUGUGGGUCCGAGAUCUAGGUUUAAAUCCCAUCUCCCCUGAUACUUCUUAUUGCUGUGGGUGGUUCCCGUAGAGGCUCACUGCUUCUCAAAGUGCUGAAAAGAAGUGAGAGUUCAUCCUGGAUGGGACAUCUCUACCACUCUCACCCUUCCAGGGCUCAGGGAACAUCUGGGAAGAGGGGCAGAAAGAACGUAAGAGUCAGAGGAUAGAGAGUGUGAUGGUGAGUUUUAUGCCAAUGUGACACAAGAUACAGUCACUGGAAAGGAGGGAACCUCAACUGAGAAAAUGCCUCCAUAAUACCUGGCUGAAGGUCAUUUUCUUAAAUAGUGAUUGAUGGGGGAGGGCCCAGCCCAUUGUGGGUGGUGCCAUCUCUGGACUGGUGGUCUUGGGUGCUCUAAGAAAGUAGACUGAGGAAGCCAUUGGAGAGCAAGCCAGUUGGCAGCACCUUCCAUGACCUCUGCUUCAGCUCCUGCCUCCAUGUUCCUCUCCAGUUAGUGUUUCUGUCCUGUCUUUCUUUGAUGUUGAAUGGUGAUAUGCAAGUGCAAGCCAAAUAAACCCUUUCCUUUCC
This 1089-nucleotide long non-coding RNA is filed under the name Mus musculus (house mouse). Its description in RNAcentral is "predicted gene, 33251 (Gm33251)". Lineage: Eukaryota; Metazoa; Chordata; Mammalia; Rodentia; Muridae. The record is from RNAcentral.